RNAcentral lists this transfer RNA (72 nucleotides) under Camelus dromedarius (Arabian camel). It matches the Rfam family "tRNA". Rfam says of the family: Transfer RNA (tRNA) molecules are approximately 80 nucleotides in length. Their secondary structure includes four short double-helical elements and three loops (D, anti-codon, and T loops). The record is from Rfam by way of RNAcentral. RNAcentral also lists the same sequence under 2 other names. Lineage: Eukaryota; Metazoa; Chordata; Mammalia; Artiodactyla; Camelidae.
GAGGGUAUAGCUCAGUGGUAGAGCACAUGAUUAGCAUGCAGGAGGUCAUGGGUUCAAUCCCCAGUACCUCCA